Molecule: long non-coding RNA, 1823 nt
Filed under: Ananas comosus (pineapple)
Lineage: Eukaryota; Viridiplantae; Streptophyta; Magnoliopsida; Poales; Bromeliaceae
Description: long non-coding RNA (ACOM_LNC041967)
Source: RNAcentral
AUCCUUGCAAUAUAAAACAAUGGCUGUAACAAAGCGAAGAAUGAUUGUGCUUCUGUAUAUGAAAAAAAGGGGCUUGAAAUUGAUUCACUGUGCACACUCAAUCCUUCGGGAAAUUAUUGGUUGACAAAGAGUUAUUCAAACUGGUUGCCUACAUGAUAGGCCAUCAAAAGAUUGAGCACUACAUAUAACCAUGUGACACCCUUACUGUAACGACCCAGCCCACCAACAACAAUAACUCGUUGGACCCAACUACCGGCCAAAGUCUUAAUUCCCUGAACUUUAAUAUACAUAGGCAAUAACAGUAUGGCUUUUCUAGAAAGCUCAAUUUUUGUAAAAUUAUUAAUUAUAAACGACACACGAUCAGGCUCAACAUUCUCAUUCAUGUAUCCAAAAAAGAAAACAAAAAACCAAAAGUCACAAAACAUAAGGUAAUUAUAAAAUUCAAAAGGACGAACAAAACUAAAAGGCAAAAUGUCACUAUAAGUUUAUAACCCAAAAAACAAUUAUAGGGAACAAAUUCGGGAAAAAAAAUUACGGGCUCAAAUUUACUAAGGAAUAAAAGCUAAAAAAGGUAUGACUCCAACAUGCAGGAAAAGAGCUUCAUAUUUGAAAGGAACAGCACUAAGCAGGGUUCUAAUACCAUUCAAAUAUUCUGCACUACUUAGGUUUAUGAAGCAACAAAGGGUAAAAAUGUUCCAAUUUCAAUAUGCAGGAAUAAGUUUAGAACCAAAAAAGAACACUUUACACUAAUAGUAGAAUAAGAAAUAUACGGGCUCAGAUUUAAUCACCAAUGAAGGCUAAAAAAGCUCCAAGUUCAACAUGCAGGAAAAAAACACAGGCAAAAAAAAAACACCCACCACAUAGAGUUCCAAUCCAUAUUUGAGAGAAAUAUCACCAUCUAGACUUCUAACCUAUAUAUCCAUCUUUGAAAUAAAUAACACCAACCUGAGUUCUAAUCUAUAUAUUAAAUAAAUAGUGCCAACUGGUUGCCAAUAUUAUAGACCGCCCAAAGAUUGCGCACUACUCACAAUGUAAGGAAGUGAAUUCUCGAAAUCCGGGAGUUGUACUUCAUCCAGGAUCGACUGACUGUCGAGAGAAUACCCUUUGGGGAAGUUAAAGAUGUCCAAAGCACAAAAAGUGCCUUGGAGUUGAGUCCACGAGAGCGAAUGGUGCAAACAGCAUCAUUGGGUUGAUGUUACUCUCGGGGACCGGUCUCUGGAGGUGAGAGACCGGUUCCAUCAGCUGGGCGUGCGGGGUUGCAGGGUGCAACCGGUCCCUGGCAGGGAGGGACCGGUUCCCGAACGUGGUUCCAGCGAGAAAUGCUGAAAUUUGGCUAAGUCCUGAAAAUUGAGCUCUCGGGGACCGGUCUCUCAGGCGAUGACCGGUCUCCCAAGGACCGGUUGUAGUGUACCGAAUUUUAAUAUAGAAGUAAGAGUAAAUAAAAAUAGUGUAAAAUACUAUUUUUAUUGGACUUAAAGAAGUUUUCUAUGUGCAAAUGAGGUGCUUACUUGGGGGUUAAGUUUCCUAUGCAUAAGUAAAGAGUUUACUUGGGGGUCAAGUUUUCUAUGGCUAAGUAAUGGGCUAACUUGGAGGCUAAGUUUCCUAACUUGGAGGCUAAGUUUCCUAUGUAUAUAUAAAUAUGAUAUGAGGACUUGGACCUUUUCUCUCAUUUUCCACCCCUUAACCCAAAAAGAGAAGCCUUCUCUUUCCCUCUCUAAACCUCUCUCUCUCCUAGCUCCUAGAGUGUUACUCCAAAAGUGGAGAUUUGGUGGAAGAAGCUUACUUGGAGGUGGAGCUUUCCUCUUCCUCACCAUUGGCUUGAA